Triticum aestivum (bread wheat) is the source of this 114-nucleotide non-coding RNA. NCBI's taxonomy places the organism in Eukaryota, Viridiplantae, Streptophyta, Magnoliopsida, Poales, Poaceae. The record is from Rfam.
GAAAUACUUCCUCCGCCAGGAAAUACUUGUCGGAAGAAUGAAUAUAUCUAAACGUAUUUUACUUUUAGAUACAUCCAUUUUUUGACAAGUAUUUUCGGACGGAGGGAGUAUAAU